Molecule: ribosomal RNA, 425 nt
Filed under: uncultured bacterium
Lineage: Bacteria
Description: partial 16S ribosomal RNA
Rfam family: Bacterial small subunit ribosomal RNA
Source: RNAcentral
GUGGGGAAUAUUGGACAAUGGGCGAAAGCCUGAUCCAGCAAUGCCGCGUGAGUGAUGAAGGCCUUAGGGUUGUAAAGCUCUUUUACCCGGGAUGAUAAUGACAGUACCGGGAGAAUAAGCUCCGGCUAACUCCGUGCCAGCAGCCGCGGUAAUACGGAGGGAGCUAGCGUUGUUCGGAAUUACUGGGCGUAAAGCGAACGUAGGCGGCUUUGUAAGUUAGAGGUGAAAGCCUGGAGCUUAACUCCAGAACUGCCUUUAAGACUGCAUCGCUUGAAUCCAGGAGAGGUGAGUGGAAUUCCGCGUGUAGAGGUGAAAUUCGUAGAUAUUCGGAAGAACACCAGUGGCGAAGGCGGCUCACUGGACUGGUAUUGACGCUGAGGUGCGAAAGCGUGGGGAGCAAACAGGAUUAGAUACCCCAGUAGUCC